UGGGGAAUAUUGCAGCAAUGGGCGAAAGCCCUGAUGCAGCAACGCCGCGUGAGUGAUGAAGGCCUUCGGGUUGUAAAGCUCUGUCUUUUGGGGACGAUAAUGACGGUACCAAAGGAGGAAGCCACGGCUAACUACGUGCCAGCAGCCGCGGUAAUACGUAGGUGGCAAGCGUUGUCCGGAUUUACUGGGCGUAAAGGAUGCGUAGGCGGAUUUUUAAGUGAGAUGUGAAAUACCCGGGCUUAACUUGGGUGCUGCAUUUCAAACUGGGAAUCUAGAGUGGCGGGAGAGGAGAAUGGAAUUCCUAGGUGGUAGCGGUGAAAUGCGUAGAGAUUAGGAAGAACACCAGUGGCGAAGGCGAUUCUCUGGACCGUAACUGACGCUGAGGCAUGAAAGCGUGGGGUA
Molecule: ribosomal RNA, 402 nt
Filed under: uncultured bacterium
Lineage: Bacteria
Description: partial 16S ribosomal RNA
Rfam family: Bacterial small subunit ribosomal RNA
Source: RNAcentral